GCAGUCGAGCGGAUCGAUGGGAGCUUGCUCCCUGAAAUCAGCGAGCGGACGGGUGAGUAACACGUGGGUAACCUGCCUGUCGACUGGGAUAACUCCGGGAAACCGGGGCUAAUACCGGAUAACUCAAUUCCUCGCAUGAGGAACUGUUGAAAGGUGGCUUUUCCCUACCACUUGCGGAGGGACCCCCGGCGCAUUGGCUAAUUGGUGAGGUAAGGGCUCACCCGGGCACCAAUGGAUAGCCAACCUGAAAGGGUGAUCGCCCACACUGGGCCUGAACCCCGGCCCAAACCCCUACGGGGGGAUUUUCUAGGGAAUCUUCCCCACUGAACGAACGUCUGACGGAGAACCACCACGGGAUUGAGAAAGGUUUUCGGAUCUGACAACUCUGUUGUUAGGGAGAACCAAUUGCCGUUCAAAUUGGCGGGCCCUUUGACGGAACCUACCCAAAACUCCACGCCAACCUCCGUGCCACCACCCGCGUGAAUACCUAGGUGCCAAUUUUUUGCCGGUAUAAUGGGCGCAAAAGGCCGCGCAGGUGUGUUCUUAAAUCUGAUGUCACAGCCCAGGCUUCACCCGUGAAGGGUCUUUGUAGACUGCGGAACUUGAUUGCAGAAAAGCACGUUGAAUUUCGAAGUGUAGCGAUAAGUGGCGUAGAUUUUGGGAGGACCGCGGCUGUCGAGGGCUGACUACUGAGGUCUGUACUGACACUGGUGGCGCAAAAGCGUGGGUAGCAUACCAGGAUAGUAUACCCCUGUAGUCCACGACUGUAAACGAGUAGUGCUAUUUGUACAGGGUUUGCCGCCCUAUAAGGCAUGCAGCUAAUCCGAUUAGGCACUCCGCUGGGAAGUACGGUCUCAGACUGAAUCUCAGAGGGACUGGACAGGGGCCGGGACCAGCGGGUGAUAUGGAGGCUUCACUACGGAGCAUCGCGAGGAUCGUAACUCAGGUCUUAGGACAUCCUCUGACAGCCUUAGCCAAUCGGGCUUCCUUCGGGGGG
Molecule: ribosomal RNA, 997 nt
Filed under: Rossellomorea vietnamensis
Lineage: Bacteria; Bacillati; Bacillota; Bacilli; Caryophanales; Bacillaceae
Description: bacterial SSU rRNA
Rfam family: Bacterial small subunit ribosomal RNA
Source: RNAcentral